UAAAAAGUCUUCUAGGGUUCCGCGGUAUUUGGUGCCGGUCUGGUCCGAGAGAAGACACACAGAUCGAUCUGUGACACGGAGGGACAAAAGCCCGGGAGAU
RNAcentral lists this small RNA (100 nucleotides) under Salisediminibacterium selenitireducens. RNAcentral's name for it is "Bacillus selenitireducens Guanidine-I sequence". It matches the Rfam family "Guanidine-I riboswitch aptamer". Rfam says of the family: This family represents a conserved RNA structure found upstream of the ykkC and yxkD genes in Bacillus subtilis and related genes in other bacteria. The function of this family is unclear although it has been suggested that it may function to switch on efflux pumps and detoxification systems in response to harmful environmental molecules. Lineage: Bacteria; Bacillati; Bacillota; Bacilli; Caryophanales; Bacillaceae. The record is from RNAcentral.